RNAcentral lists this ribosomal RNA (366 nucleotides) under Exotela sp. A8. RNAcentral's name for it is "partial large subunit ribosomal RNA". The record is from RNAcentral. Lineage: Eukaryota; Metazoa; Arthropoda; Insecta; Hymenoptera; Braconidae.
GGCUGCAGAAUUUAUAACUGUACAAAGGUAGCAUAAUAAUUUGUUUUUUAAUUAAAAACUAGAAUGAAUGAUUAAAUGAAAUAUAAACUGUUUCAAUAAAAAUAAAAUUUAAAUUUUUAUUUAAGUUAAAAAACUUAAAUAAAUUUAAAAGACGACAAGACCCUAUAGAAUUUUAUAUAUUUUUUAUAUAUAAAAUUUUAUUAAUUUAUUUAUAUUUAAAAAAUAUAUUUAAUUGGGGUAAUUUAAAAAUUUAAAAAAUUUUUUUUUUAUAAAACAAUAAUUAUUGAAUAAAAUAUCUUAAAAUUUAAAAUAUUAAAAUUAAUUACCUUAGGGAUAACAGCAUAAUUUUUUUUAAAAGAUCUUAUU